This 631-nucleotide ribosomal RNA is filed under the name Staphylococcus aureus. Its description in RNAcentral is "partial 23S ribosomal RNA". It matches the Rfam family "Bacterial large subunit ribosomal RNA", at positions 1248 to 1875 of the family's 2925-position model. Lineage: Bacteria; Bacillati; Bacillota; Bacilli; Caryophanales; Staphylococcaceae. The record is from RNAcentral.
CGUUGAAGCAUGAUCGUAAGGACAUGUGGAGCGCUUAGAAGUGAGAAUGCCGGUGUGAGUAGCGAAAGACGGGUGAGAAUCCCGUCCACCGAUUGACUAAGGUUUCCAGAGGAAGGCUCGUCCGCUCUGGGUUAGUCGGGUCCUAAGCUGAGGCCGACAGGCGUAGGCGAUGGAUAACAGGUUGAUAUUCCUGUACCACCUAUAAUCGUUUUAAUCGAUGGGGGGACGCAGUAGGAUAGGCGAAGCGUGCGAUUGGAUUGCACGUCUAAGCAGUAAGGCUGAGUAUUAGGCAAAUCCGGUACUCGUUAAGGCUGAGCUGUGAUGGGGAGAAGACAUUGUGUCUUCGAGUCGUUGAUUUCACACUGCCGAGAAAAGCCUCUAGAUAGAAAAUAGGUGCCCGUACCGCAAACCGACACAGGUAGUCAAGAUGAGAAUUCUAAGGUGAGCGAGCGAACUCUCGUUAAGGAACUCGGCAAAAUGACCCCGUAACUUCGGGAGAAGGGGUGCUCUUUAGGGUUAACGCCCAGAAGAGCCGCAGUGAAUAGGCCCAAGCGACUGUUUAUCAAAAACACAGGUCUCUGCUAAACCGUAAGGUGAUGUAUAGGGGCUGACGCCUGCCCGGUGCUGGAAG